GAUAAACUGAAGAUGGGGAAAGAGAUAAAACCUUAAUUCUAGAGAGCUUACAUUUGGUGAAAGUAAGUAUUGAGAUUUAUCUUAUGCUACCUCGGAGGUCUUGUAUAAAAACAAGACGGCGGCAUCCGUUAUAAUGCAUAGAGUGGAUCAUUAGAUCAAUUUAGGUGGUAACGCGGUAGACACAGUCUUUCGUCCUUUUU
This 200-nucleotide non-coding RNA is filed under the name Tissierella creatinophila. Its description in RNAcentral is "T-box sequence". It matches the Rfam family "T-box leader". From Rfam's summary of the family: Uncharged tRNA acts as the effector for transcription antitermination of genes in the T-box leader family. Lineage: Bacteria; Bacillati; Bacillota; Tissierellia; Tissierellales; Tissierellaceae. The record is from RNAcentral.